UGAGGCAGACAAGUGGUCGCGUGCCGAUGAGGCAUGAGGAAAGUCCGAGCACCACAGGGCAGGGUGCCAGCUAACGGCUGGUGGAGGCGACUCCAAGGCAAGUGCAACAGAGAGAUACCGCCGUGUAAACGGUAAGGGUGGAAAGGUGCGGUAAGAGCGCACCGGCGGCCUGGCGACUGGCCCGUCAUGUAAACCCCACCUGGUGCAAGAUAAAGGGAAGCAAUGAAUGGCCCGUUCCGCUUCCGACCAUCGCUACAGCAGCCUGGUGACUGGCUGCGAAGAUAGAUGACCACUCACGACAGAACUCGGCUUACAGUCUGCGCUCAUUUU
Molecule: RNase P RNA, 330 nt
Filed under: Clostridiales bacterium
Lineage: Bacteria; Bacillati; Bacillota; Clostridia; Eubacteriales
Description: RNase P RNA component class A
Rfam family: Bacterial RNase P class A
About the family: Ribonuclease P (RNase P) is a ubiquitous endoribonuclease, found in archaea, bacteria and eukarya as well as chloroplasts and mitochondria.
Source: RNAcentral